AAAGCAAGUUAACCAGGACACCAUUGGUUGUGAGAGGACGUGGGAGGUUAAGAGAAUUACAAGUAGUUUCAUCUUCUACUCUAGAAGAUUAGCCCUGCACUAAUUACUGCCAAUCUUCCUCUUUUUGCUGAGGAAGAUUGGACCUGAGCUAACAUCCAUCCUAUCUUCCUCUACUUUAUUUGUGGGAUGCCUAUCACAGCAUGUCUUUGGCCAAGCUGUGCCAUGUCUGCACCUGGGAUCUGAACCAGCGAACCCCAGGCUGCCGAGAAGUGGAAUGUGGGAACUUAACUUCUGCGCCACAGGGCUGGCCCCCCUUAUUCAUCUUGAAGUCCUCCGGCUAUGCCUCCAACAAAAGUAGUGUGUGGCCAGGAACUCCAGGACAAUGUUGCCAGCAACUUGUAUUAGUUGACUUCCGUCCUGAUAUUAACAGUUAAGAUUCUAAUAUUUCACCAUUAAGCAUUUUGUUUGCCUACUUGGUUGAAAGACUGUGUCUGAAAAUUUUAUAAAAUAUCUAUGGAUAAUUGAAUUUUAUCAAAUGCUUUGUCUUUAUCCAUUCAGAAAAGCAUUUUUCUCCUCUAAUCUGCCUAUAUGGUAAACAUAGUUGUCUAUUUACUAGCAUUAAAUCACCCUUGAAUUCUUAUAAUAAAUGUAAUUAGGCAUUUGUUUCUCUUUAUUCCUCAUAUUGUUAUGUUUUUGAGGAAUUUUUCAUAUAAUUCAUGAAUAAAAUGAGCUUGUGAUUUUCCUACCUUGUAUGCUCCCUUUCUGAUUUUGAUUUCAGAGUUAUAUUAACCUUAUAUUAUGACUUGUGGUGCCCCCAAUUUUAAGUUUUCUGGAAGAGUUUAUGUAAGAUUGAAAUGGUGUGUUUCUUGAAUAGUUGGUAGAAUUUUCUGGUAAACCCAUCUGGUCCUGGUUUUCAAAUACUUUAAUGAAUACAGAAAAUACAGUGUUUCAGUGUUUCAAGUCAUUUGUAAUAACUUAUAUUUUUCUAGAAAUGUGUCCAUUCUUAUAACUUUCAUAUUUAUU
This 1023-nucleotide long non-coding RNA is filed under the name Equus caballus (horse). Its description in RNAcentral is "lncRNA (ENSECAG00000059576.1)". The record is from RNAcentral. Lineage: Eukaryota; Metazoa; Chordata; Mammalia; Perissodactyla; Equidae.